RNAcentral lists this ribosomal RNA (186 nucleotides) under uncultured bacterium. RNAcentral's name for it is "partial 16S ribosomal RNA". It matches the Rfam family "Bacterial small subunit ribosomal RNA", at positions 1315 to 1500 of the family's 1533-position model. The record is from RNAcentral.
CCUUCAUGAAGCUGGAAUUGCUAGUAAUGGCAGGUCAGCAUACUGCCGUGAAUACGUUCCCGGGCCUUGUACACACCGCCCGUCACACCAUGAGAGUUGGAAAUACCCGAAGCCUGUGAGCUAACUUAAAGAGGCAGCAGUCGAAGGUAGAGCCAAUGAUUGGGGGUGAAGUCGUAACAAGGUAUC